Molecule: ribosomal RNA, 426 nt
Filed under: uncultured bacterium
Lineage: Bacteria
Description: bacterial SSU rRNA
Rfam family: Bacterial small subunit ribosomal RNA
Source: RNAcentral
GAAUUGUUCGCAAUGGGCGCAAGCCUGACGACGCAACGCCGCGUGGAGGAUGAAGGUCUUCGGAUUGUAAACUCCUGUUGACCGGGAAGAAUAGGUCCCACCCUAACACGGUGGGGCAAUGACGGUACCGGUUGAGGAAGCCCCGGCUAACUCUGUGCCAGCAGCCGCGGUAAUACAGAGGUGGCAAGCGUUGUUCGGAAUUACUGGGCGUAAAGGGCGAGUAGGCGGCCUUCUAAGUCGGACGUGAAAUCCCCAGGCUUAACUUGGGAACUGCGUCCGAUACUGGAAGGCUUGAGUGCGGGAGAGGGAUGUGGAAUUCCAGGUGUAGCGGUGAAAUGCGUAGAUAUCUGGAGGAACACCGGUGGCGAAGGCGGCAUCCUGGACCGACACUGACGCUGAAUCGCGAAAGCUAGGGGAGCAAACGGG